Molecule: long non-coding RNA, 820 nt
Organism: Pocillopora verrucosa
Lineage: Eukaryota; Metazoa; Cnidaria; Anthozoa; Scleractinia; Pocilloporidae
Source: RefSeq, a predicted model, not a curated record
GAACACCGCAAGGGCGUUUCCGAGGAAUGUUUGACUAUGUUUGUUCGAUCGAUUCCAAAUUUUUAUCUCAUCUUAGACUGGAACUUACAGAAAGCUGUCCUUUCUGUCCUGAGCAUAUUCUUUUGAAAUCCCAACACUGAUGGAGGCUUAAAUGUCGAGGGGAAACACUGACAGGGAAUAAGGAUAUCGAAAGGACUUUGAGAUGACAAGCUAGCUGAGCCUUUUGUCUCCGAGGACUUUGUUUAAAAAUCUCAAUCACCAGUGGUGCUAUCAUUACGGUGCCUUCGUGUGUCGAAGUUUUGGCAAACAUGUACACAGUCAAGAUUUUUAAAUUGCCAAGAAUUAGCUGCGUUAAUUACUUAUGGGGUGUUACCCAACCAAACGCAACGCCGGUACACGUCAAGACUCUAACUUUGUAGAUGACAGAAGAUUCAAGUUCAAGUCCAAAUACCAUCACGCAAGUUUCAUAGCUUGAGAAAUAGUUAAACUAUGCAAAAAACCGUUGAAAUGCGUGCUCUUUGAUAAACGACGAGAGGGUAACUUCAAGCGACUAUGAGCACGCCAUCAAUUAUCCACUCGCUUGAUUUCUCAUGUGACGUUUCAGUUCCUCCACGCUGUACUAAAAGAAAUUAAAUAUAUGCUUUUUUUGCUGGAAUUUGACCUCCAUUUGAAGUUUUAAAUUAAGUUACAGUUGUCUCUUUUAAAAAAUGAAACGAAUCUCGUCCGAGGUCCGGGAGGAGUUUCCAUCUCAUAAGUUAAGGUGAUUUGAUACAGCAUCAGAUAUCGAAUUUACUUAAAUAAAAUGCUUUUAUCCUCUUGU